CAGUUCAUACCGCGUUUGUUCUUUCUCAGUCCGUUGAAGCUUUCAAGUGCAGAUAUUUCCACAUAAGAUAAUAAAGAAUAAUUAUUUUUUAAGCAACAGUUAAUUUAACAUUUUUAAUUUUACAACGAGUAUUGAGAGUGCAAAAACAGUAGUUAGAAAAGAUGAUCAACGGCUACUUUAAAAUAUGUUUGUGCGGCUACUCGAGACAGAUUCCAAGAAAAAAAUUAUUAUUUAAACCUGAAGAAACAUAGAUGAAUAAAAAUAUCUUUUUUAAUAAAAAUUACUCCUAACGAUCCAUGAGGUCUUUAUACUGGGGAUGAGGAAUAACACAGCCACACACAAAAAAAAGUGUGCGGAUCUGGUAACAAGACACACGUAUUCCUAU
Long non-coding RNA from Belonocnema kinseyi, 385 nucleotides. RefSeq lists it as uncharacterized. The record is from RefSeq and is a predicted model, not a curated record. Lineage: Eukaryota; Metazoa; Arthropoda; Insecta; Hymenoptera; Cynipidae. The transcript is spliced from 3 exons.